CGCAGGGCGCCCCCGGCAGCCAUAUAGACUCUAUACCCGGCGUAUAAGACGACCCCCGACUUUGGAGAAGAUUUUCCAAGGUUAAAAAGUCAUCUUAUACGCCAGAAAAUACAGUAUUUGCACUGUUUGUAUUCCCUUUCCUCAUUAAGUGUUAGCAUUUAAGUAAAUAAUGAAAUUAUAGAAUGAAUGCAAAUUGUAUGGCAUGGACCAUCUGAGUAUUGUAUGAUAAAAGGAAAAUUAGUAAAAUUUGUGAAAACAUUUUUUUUAUAAAGAUCGAGAGAUAUCUUCAGAAAAGGACAGACAAAAUACAUAGGUUUGCAUAUAAAAAAGCUACAUGUGGUAGAGUUUUAAAAAUGUUGAAUGUUGUGAUAUGAGGUGCAAAUAUAAGAAAACCCACAGAAACUGCAAUUCAAUGUACUUUAUAGAAAAAAAAAGUUGAAGGAAGCACG
This is a non-coding RNA of Pelobates cultripes (western spadefoot toad), 449 nucleotides long. NCBI's taxonomy places the organism in Eukaryota, Metazoa, Chordata, Amphibia, Anura, Pelobatidae. The record is from the annotation of a GenBank genome assembly.